UGAGGAAUAUUGGUCAAUGGGCGGAAGCCUGAACCAGCCAAGUCGCGUGAGGGAAGACGGUCCUAUGGAUUGUAAACCUCUUUUGCAGGGGAGCAAGACGCGGUACGUUGUACCGUGCUGGAGAGUACCCUGAGAAAAAGCAUCGGCUAACUCCGUGCCAGCAGCCGCGUAAUACGGAGGAUGCGUAAGGCGUUAUCCGGAUUUAUUGGGUUUAAAGGGUGCGUAGGCGGACUGGUAAGUCAGCGGUAAAAAUGCGGUGCUCAACGCCGUAGUGCCGUUGAAACUGCCGGUCUUGAGUGAGCGAGAAGUAUGCGGAAUGCGUGGUGUAGCGGUGAAAAUGCAUAGAUAUCACGCAGAACUCCGAUUGCGAAGGCAGCAUACCGGCGCUCAAACUGAUGCUGAGGCACGAAAGCGUGGGGGAUCGAACAGGAUUAGAUACC
This 440-nucleotide ribosomal RNA is filed under the name uncultured bacterium. Its description in RNAcentral is "bacterial SSU rRNA". It matches the Rfam family "Bacterial small subunit ribosomal RNA", at positions 355 to 786 of the family's 1533-position model. The record is from RNAcentral.